This 98-nucleotide signal recognition particle RNA is filed under the name Fusobacteriaceae bacterium. RNAcentral describes it as "signal recognition particle sRNA small type". It matches the Rfam family "Bacterial small signal recognition particle RNA". Rfam says of the family: The signal recognition particle (SRP) is a universally conserved ribonucleoprotein involved in the co-translational targeting of proteins to membranes. Archaeal SRP consists of a 7S RNA and homologues of the eukaryotic SRP19 and SRP54 proteins. The record is from RNAcentral. Lineage: Bacteria; Fusobacteriati; Fusobacteriota; Fusobacteriia; Fusobacteriales; Fusobacteriaceae.
AACGGGGAUUCUUACGGCAUAGUUGUAUCGAACCGUGUCAGGACCGGAAGGUAGCAGCACUAAGGUAGGAUUGUGGGUGUAGGAUAUUCCUGCCUUUG